RNAcentral lists this long non-coding RNA (571 nucleotides) under Trifolium pratense (red clover). RNAcentral's name for it is "long non-coding RNA (TPRA_LNC013012)". The record is from RNAcentral. Lineage: Eukaryota; Viridiplantae; Streptophyta; Magnoliopsida; Fabales; Fabaceae.
GGCUUUAUUUUCUCUAAGUUGUCAAUUUUAUUAGGCUUCUAUGUUGAGCUGAGUUUAUCUUCUUUUUUUUUUUCCUUUUCAGAAUUAAAAGGUCUGAGGACAUCCCUGUGGAAAUAUGGAGAUGAUUGAUUCAAUCCAGCGAUUUUAAGAAUGGUCUCCCGAAACCAACUUAUGAGUUAACUGUUAAAGGAGGAGACAAAGUUAAGCAUACAAAUAGAAGGAAUCGAGGUUACAAGUACAAAUUUGUAAAUUUAUGAUUUAUAAUUGAUGAUUCUAGGUAUAUGAUAUUAACUCUACUAUUAUGGAAUGAUUUUAGUAUAUAUAAGUAUAAUUUAUGCUAUUAGGUGUAUGGUACUCUAUUAUUAUAGUAUGAUGAUUUUAGUGUAGAAGUAUAAUUUUGAAACUUUAUGUUAUUAAUGGAUGAUUUUGGAUUUUUGGAUUAAAUAAAUUUUGGUGUAUGUUACUCGAGAAACAAUAGUAAAAGAAAAAAAUUAAUAGAAUUUAAAUCGGGUGCGAUAUGAACAGAUUUAAAAUAUUGUUUUUUAAAUCGGUUGAACCGAUUUUAUUUUGG